This 253-nucleotide ribosomal RNA is filed under the name uncultured bacterium. RNAcentral's name for it is "partial 16S ribosomal RNA". It matches the Rfam family "Bacterial small subunit ribosomal RNA", at positions 524 to 776 of the family's 1533-position model. The record is from RNAcentral.
GACGAACCGUCCAAACGUUGUUCGGAAUCACUGGGCUUAAAGGGCGCGUAGGCGGGGCAGCAAGUCUAGGGUGAAAUCCUCCGGCUUAACCGGAGAACUGCCUUGGAUACUGCUAAUCUCGAGGGAGGUAGGGGUCUGUGGAACUGAUGGUGGAGCGGUGAAAUGCGUUGAUAUCAUCAGGAACGCCGGUGGCGAAAGCGACGGACUGGACCUUCACUGACGCUGAGGCGCGAAAGCUAGGGGAGCAAACGGG